RNAcentral lists this ribosomal RNA (660 nucleotides) under uncultured fungus. RNAcentral's name for it is "eukaryotic LSU rRNA". It matches the Rfam family "Eukaryotic large subunit ribosomal RNA", at positions 24 to 664 of the family's 3401-position model. The record is from RNAcentral. Lineage: Eukaryota; Fungi.
CCCGCUGAACUUAAGCAUAUCAGUAAGCGGAGGAAAAGAAACUAACAAGGAUUGCCCCAGUAGCGGCGAGUGAACAGGCAGAAGCUCAAAUUGAAAAUCCACGGCAUUAAGUCAUGGAAUUGUAAUCUAUAGAGGUUCUCGGAAGGAACGAAUUUCGCAUAAGUUCCUUGGAAAAGGACGUCAAAGAGGGUGAAAACCCCGUAGAUGGUGAAGUUCGACCGUACGAGAGCUUUCGAAGAGUCGGGUUGUUUGGUAUUGCAGCCCUAAAUGGGAGAUAAACUUCUUCUAAAGCUAAAUAUUUAUGGGAAACCGAUAGCGAACAAGUACUGCGAAGGAAAGGUGAAAAGAACUUUGAAAAGAGGGUUAAAAGACUUGAAACCGUUGAAAAGGAAGCGGUAGAAGAACAAUUAGAUCAGUCGUGAUAUACUCAUGUGAAAAGUGGCCUAUGAUGUGUAAGGUACUUAAUAAGGCCUGCAUAUUAUUGUGUAACAUAUUCUAUGAAGUUUUUCGCGAAUUGAUAGGCAAAGUGAGGUUUUCCUAGUGGAGUCAGUAGUUGAGGAGACCCUUUACCGGAACUCAGCUACAAAACAUUGGGAGAGCCUGAGGGGCUUACGAGCGAUUUUGCCAAAAUGGCUUUUACUGACCCGUCUUGAAACACGG